AUGAUCAUCGCCUUACUGUGCUGGGGGGUCUGGGGUCUCCUGCAGGCAGGUGUGGUGAAGGCUGGGGUCUCUCAGACCCCCAGAUUCCAGAUCCUGAGGACAGGACAGAGCAGGAACCUGAGUUGUGUCCAGGAUAUGAACCAUGAGUCCAUGUACUGGUAUCGCCAGGACCCGGGACUCGGGCUGAGGCUCAUCUAUUACUCAUAUAUUGUUGGAUCCAAGGACAAAGGAGACUUCCCCGAUGGGUAUAAUGUCUACAGACCAAAAAAGCAGAAGUUCCUGCUCACGCUGGAGUCUGCCUCCCCCUCCCAGACAUCUGUGUACUUCUGUGCCAGCAGUGUGUCAGGGAGGGGAACUGAGUCACUGGGAGGUCCCAGGACCCCUGGAGAGGCUGAGACUCCUCACCCACGGAGGUGGACACGGCCUUGA
This is a non-coding RNA of Talpa occidentalis (Iberian mole), 429 nucleotides long. The record is from the annotation of a RefSeq genome assembly. Lineage: Eukaryota; Metazoa; Chordata; Mammalia; Eulipotyphla; Talpidae.